UGUUUAAAAUUUCAUUCAUUUUUAUUGUUGAAAAUUGGUGUGACUGACAACAAUCAAAUAGUGGUACGUGGCAUGCCACAUAUACUUCAUGUUUACGUACAAUGAUUAGUUUUUAGCAAUAAAAAUGGAUAAGUUUUUAAUA
Molecule: non-coding RNA, 142 nt
Organism: Gossypium hirsutum (cotton)
Lineage: Eukaryota; Viridiplantae; Streptophyta; Magnoliopsida; Malvales; Malvaceae
Source: Rfam